RNAcentral lists this unclassified non-coding RNA (306 nucleotides) under plant metagenome. Its description in RNAcentral is "partial contains 5.8S ribosomal RNA, internal transcribed spacer 2, and large subunit ribosomal RNA". The stretch from base 1 to 105 matches the Rfam family "5.8S ribosomal RNA", at positions 50 to 154 of the family's 154-position model. The record is from RNAcentral.
GAAAUGCGAUAAGUAAUGUGAAUUGCAGAAUUCAGUGAAUCAUCGAAUCUUUGAACGCACAUUGGGCCCGCCAGUAUUCUGGCGGGCAUGCCUGUCCGAGCGUCAUUUCAACCAUCAAGCCCCCGGGCUUGUGUUGGGGACCUGCGGCUGCCCGCAGGCCCUGAAAACCAGUGGCGGGCUCGCUGUCACACCGAGCGUAGUAGCAAUCACCUCGCUCAGGGCGUGCUGCGGGUUCCGGCCGUUAAACAGCCUUACAAAACCCAAGGUUGACCUCGGAUCAGGUAGGAAGACCCGCUGAACUUAAGC